Molecule: ribosomal RNA, 465 nt
Filed under: uncultured bacterium
Lineage: Bacteria
Description: partial 16S ribosomal RNA
Rfam family: Bacterial small subunit ribosomal RNA
Source: RNAcentral
CCUACGGGAGGCAGCAGUGGGGAAUAUUGCGCAAUGGGCGAAAGCCUGACGCAGCGACGCCGCGUGAGGGAUGAAUGUCUUCGGAUCGUAAACCUCUGUCAGCAGGGAAGAACGGUCACUGUGCUAAUCAGCAGUGAAUUGACGGUACCUGCAAAGGAAGCACCGGCUAACUCCGUGCCAGCAGCCGCGGUAAUACGGAGGGUGCGAGCGUUAAUCGGAAUUUCUGGGCGUAAAGCGCUCGUAGGCGGUAUGUCAAGUCAAGGGUGAAAUCCCCGGGCUCAACGUGGGAACUGUCUUUGAAACUGGGGAACUGGAGUGUGUGAGAGGAGAGUGGAAUUCCAGGUGUAGGGGUGAAAUGCGGAGAUAUCUGGAAGAACAUCAGUGGCGAAGGCGACUAUCUGGCACAUAACUGACGCUGAGGAACGAAAGCGUGGGUAGCAAACAGGAUUAGAUACCCUGGUAGUC